Molecule: RNA transcript, 2152 nt
Organism: Vombatus ursinus (common wombat)
Lineage: Eukaryota; Metazoa; Chordata; Mammalia; Diprotodontia; Vombatidae
Gene: AZI2
Gene name: 5-azacytidine induced 2
Exons: 9
Source: RefSeq, a predicted model, not a curated record
CGGAGGCCGGAAGCCCGCCGUGACCCCGCUGACCCGGGGUGUUCUCGGUUCGUUCCGCACGUCGGGGAAACCGAAAGCGCCGACGAGGCGAGCUAUCAUGGAUGCACUAGUGGAAGAUGACAUCUGUAUUCUGAACCAUGAAAAGACUCAGAGGAGAGAUACCAUCACUCCUAUGUCAAUCUAUGCAGGAGAUGAGUCUAUGGCUUCCCACUUUGCCCUUGUCACAGCAUAUGAGGACAUCAAAAAGAGACUUAAGGAUUCAGAGAAGGAGAAUUCCCUCUUAAAGAAAAGAAUACGAUUUCUGGAAGAAAAGCUUCUUGAAAACCGAUUAGAUGAAGAAACAAGCUCUGUAGGACGAGAACAAGUAAACAAGGCCUAUCAUGCUUAUCGGGAGGUCUGCCUAGACAGAGAUAAUUUGAAAAGCAAAUUGGAUAAAAUGAAUAAAGAUAAUUCUGAAUCUUUAAAAGCAUUAAAUGAACAGCUACAGACUAAAGAAGUCGAGCUCCUCCAGCUCCGGACCGAGGUCGAGACUCAGCAAGUGAUGAGGAAUCUAAAUCGACCUUCAUCUAACUGGGAGGUAGAAAAGUUGAGCAAUGACUUGAAAAUCCAUGGUUUGGAACAGGAGCUGGAAGUGAUGAGAAAGGAAUGUACUAGUCUAAGAACAGAACUGCAAAAGUCGAAACACAAGGAUCAGUCUCAGGAAGACAAUCUCAACUUCUCAACAGACUUCCAAAGGCCAAGCAUUCCAAGUGAUAACAUGCAAUAUGCCUACUGGGAGCUCAAGAGAGAAAUGUCUAAUUUACAUCUUGUGACUCAAGUGCAAGCUGAACUACUAAGAAAGUUUAAAGCUCCAUCUACAAUCAAGAAAGCUUGUGCGCCAGUCCAGUGUGUUGAAGACCUAGUGAAGGACUGCACAAAAUUACAUUUGACGUCUUUAACUGCAACCUACAAAAGACAUGCUCCUCUUUCACCAAAUGGCAAAGCCCUCAGUAGUGCCAUGGGUUCUCCUCUGUCCGGAGAGACAAAGAUUUUACUGGAGAGAGCAAGUCUCCAGUCAUGGGCAGAUAAUGAGAGAGUCAUCCCUGGUGGUCGUACAAACUUUCAAGAACAAAAUUCCUAUGGCAGAAAUUCUUUAGAAGACAAUUCAUGGGUAUUCCCAAGCCCCCCAAAAUCUAGUGAGACAGCAUUUGGGGAAAAUAAAAGUAAAACGCCUUCCCCCAACCUACAUCACCUGGAUCGGCAUAAUCCAAACUGCCUUUACAAGAACUGAUCCAGAAGAGACUUGUGGUCCCCUUGGGAAGAGCUGUCUGGCAUCGGGCCGAUGCGCGAGAAACACACAUGAGGAACUGGCUCCAUUGUGGCAUGUGUUCUGUGACUGUCCUUGAUUUCAAGUACACACUGCUCUACAGUCAUGUGGUUAGGUUUGUUUCUUUCAGCAUAGACUAAAACAACUGUGCUAACCAACUCUAUUUUAGCCAAGUAUAGACACAUGCACUACUUCAUAAAUGACAGGAAUUCUCUUAGUGUUUUUAAAAGACAACUCUACCUUUGUUAACAGUUGCUGUAGAUUUAGGCAUCUCGGGCAAAGAAAAAUGAUAGGAACUAGUUUUUGAGCUUGAGUUCUGAAAACUAUUGACACAGGUUUUGUAAGAUGUCUAAAUCAUAAAUAUAUUCACUCCCAAGAAUAAUAGAAAGGUUGAUGGAGUUUUGGCGCAAAUCACGUAAAUUACAAAAAACAAACCAACAAACAAAUCUUACCUAGGGGAGCAAGCAACUAGUAAAACAUAUUUCAGUUCCCAUUGGUCUUUUUAUGAACACAUAUAGAUUGUGGAACUAUUGGGAUGGAAUAAUUAUUCUAUGAAUAGUCCAUUUCUGUAAACCAUUUCAGUUCAAAUUUUCAGAAUUAAAAUUGCUUUCUAGGCCCAGUGGUGUUUGUUACCAAAGUACUAGAAUGGUCACCAUUACUUUUGUGUGAUUUUAAUUCUGUUUACAAUCCAGACCACUCAGUCAUUGGAACUGGCCACGUUCAACAGCUCCCUGGAGCAUUCAAUUUAAAACGGUAAAUUGGACGAGACACUGGCUUGGAUAACAUUCUGAACUAUACAAAGAUGAAAUCAUACUGUUUGAUUUAAAUAAAUUAUUUUUAUUUGAA